UACGAAGGGGGCUAGCGUGCUCGGAAUCACUGGGCGUAAAGGGUGCGUAGGCGGGUCUUAAGUCAGGGGUGAGAUCCUGGAGCUCAACUCCAGAACUGCCCUUGAUACUGAGGAUCUUGAGUUCGGGAGAGGUGAGUGGAACUGCGAGUGUAGAGGUGAAAUUCGUAGAUAUUCGCAAGAACACCAGUGGCGAAGGCGGCUCACUGGCCCGAUACUGACGCUGAGGCACGAAAGCGUGGGGAGCAAACAGG
RNAcentral lists this ribosomal RNA (251 nucleotides) under uncultured bacterium. RNAcentral's name for it is "partial 16S ribosomal RNA". It matches the Rfam family "Bacterial small subunit ribosomal RNA", at positions 524 to 776 of the family's 1533-position model. The record is from RNAcentral.